GAAGCUAUAGUUCAGUGGUCGAGUGUGUGCUUGGCAUGCACGAGGUCCUGGGUCCAAACCUCAAUACCUCCA
Molecule: transfer RNA, 72 nt
Filed under: Camelus bactrianus (Bactrian camel)
Lineage: Eukaryota; Metazoa; Chordata; Mammalia; Artiodactyla; Camelidae
Also listed under: 2 other names
Rfam family: tRNA
About the family: Transfer RNA (tRNA) molecules are approximately 80 nucleotides in length. Their secondary structure includes four short double-helical elements and three loops (D, anti-codon, and T loops).
Source: Rfam by way of RNAcentral